Small nuclear RNA from Trifolium pratense (red clover), 114 nucleotides. RefSeq annotates it as U5 spliceosomal RNA. The transcript has a single exon. The record is from RefSeq and is a predicted model, not a curated record. Lineage: Eukaryota; Viridiplantae; Streptophyta; Magnoliopsida; Fabales; Fabaceae.
CAUCAUGCAACAAACACAUAAUAAACUAUUCUUUUGCCUUUUACUAAAGAAUACUGUGUGCUCGUUGCUUAAAGUGGCAUAACUAUAUUUUUGUAAGGCUGACUGCUCCCGCCA